GGAAUAUUGCACAAUGGGCGCAAGCCUGAUGCAGCCAUGCCGCGUGUAUGAAGAAGGCCUUCGGGUUGUAAAGUACUUUCAGUGGGGAGGAAGGCGAUAAGGUUAAUAACCUUGUCGAUUGACGUUACCCGCAGAAGAAGCACCGGCUAACUCCGUGCCAGCAGCCGCGGUAAUACGGAGGGUGCAAGCGUUAAUCGGAAUUACUGGGCGUAAAGCGCACGCAGGCGGUCUGUCAAGUCGGAUGUGAAAUCCCCGGGCUCAACCUGGGAACUGCAUUCGAAACUGGCAGACUAGAGUCUUGUAGAGGGGGGUAGAAUUCCAGGUGUAGCGGUGAAAUGCGUAGAGAUCUGGAGGAAUACCGGUGGCGAAGGCGGCCCCCUGGACAAAGACUGACGCUCAGGUGCGAAAGCGUGGGGAGCAAACAGGAUUAGAUACCCGAG
RNAcentral lists this ribosomal RNA (440 nucleotides) under uncultured Erwinia sp. RNAcentral's name for it is "bacterial SSU rRNA". It matches the Rfam family "Bacterial small subunit ribosomal RNA", at positions 358 to 790 of the family's 1533-position model. The record is from RNAcentral. Lineage: Bacteria; Pseudomonadati; Pseudomonadota; Gammaproteobacteria; Enterobacterales; Erwiniaceae.